RNAcentral lists this long non-coding RNA (245 nucleotides) under Theobroma cacao (cacao). RNAcentral describes it as "long non-coding RNA (TCAC_LNC006235)". The record is from RNAcentral. Lineage: Eukaryota; Viridiplantae; Streptophyta; Magnoliopsida; Malvales; Malvaceae.
UAAGAUUUUUCGACUUUAGCUUGAUUUCUACCUUUCCUAUGCCUUUGUUUCCAUUUAGCAUGCUUGAGGAGAGAGAUCUAAAAGUGACAUCAAGGGCUGGAUGAAAUUCUAGGGGAGAGAUUUUGGAAUUUUUAGGUUUUGAUUUUUAGUUAAAUUGGUAGUUUUAGUUAGUUAAAUGUGUUUAGAAAUUAAAUUGGGCAAGAAAGCAUUAAAUUUUCACAAUACCCACCCUUGGCCGACUCUGC